Molecule: ribosomal RNA, 887 nt
Filed under: Salmonella enterica subsp. enterica serovar Dublin
Lineage: Bacteria; Pseudomonadati; Pseudomonadota; Gammaproteobacteria; Enterobacterales; Enterobacteriaceae
Description: partial 23S ribosomal RNA
Rfam family: Bacterial large subunit ribosomal RNA
Source: RNAcentral
UGGGAGCCCCACCACUAAGCCAGUGGUGAACUCCACAUACGCAUCCUUUGCUGAGGAUACGGUUAACGGAGCGAAAGCGACGUUCAACCGCAAAAGAAGCAGAGGGGGCUUAGUGGUGGGGUGACUGCGUACCUUUUGUAUAAUGGGUCAGCGACUUAUAUUCUGUAGCAAGGUUAACCGAAUAGGGGAGCCGGAGGGAAACCGAGUCUUAACCGGGCGUUAAGUUGCAGGGUAUAGACCCGAAACCCGGUGAUCUAGCCAUGGGCAGGUUGAAGGUUGGGUAACACUAACUGGAGGACCGAACCGACUAAUGUUGAAAAAUUAGCGGAUGACCUGUGGCUGGGGGUGAAAGGCCAAUCAAACCGGGAGAUAGCUGGUUCUCCCCGAAAGCUAUUUAGGUAGCGCCUCGUGAAUUCAUCUCCGGGGGUAGAGCACUGUUUCGGCUAGGGGGCCAUCCCGGCUUACCAACCCGAUGCAAACUGCGAAUACCGGAGAAUGUUAUCACGGGAGACACACGGCGGGUGCUAACGUCCGUCGUGAAGAGGGAAACAACCCAGACCGCCAGCUAAGGUCCCAAAGUCAUGGUUAAGUGGGAAACGAUGUGGGAAGGCCCAGACAGCCAGGAUGUUGGCUUAGAAGCAGCCAUCAUUUAAAGAAAGCGUAAUAGCUCACUGGUCGAGUCGGCCUGCGCGGAAGAUGUAACGGGGCUAAACCAUGCACCGAAGCUGCGGCAGCGAACGUAUCACUUAAAGCGAUUCAGCGGGUUACGAUUGACGGAGCGAAGCGACGUCAAAGCGUAUACAAAGUCGAGUCGGUUUAAGGAUACGUUCGUUGGGUAGGGGAGCGUUCUGUAAGCCUGUGAAGGUGGCCUGUGAGGGUUGCUGGAG